RNAcentral lists this microRNA precursor (86 nucleotides) under Solanum tuberosum (potato). RNAcentral describes it as "MIR8024 microRNA precursor family". It matches the Rfam family "MIR8024 microRNA precursor family". The record is from Rfam by way of RNAcentral. Lineage: Eukaryota; Viridiplantae; Streptophyta; Magnoliopsida; Solanales; Solanaceae.
UUAGAGGAUUGGGAGAUGUUAACUUGCAUACUUGGAGGAUUUGAAGACUUCACCUUGCAUAUUUAUAGGAUCUGAAGACUAUAAGU